Molecule: ribosomal RNA, 466 nt
Filed under: uncultured bacterium
Lineage: Bacteria
Description: partial 16S ribosomal RNA
Rfam family: Bacterial small subunit ribosomal RNA
Source: RNAcentral
GACGAACGCUGGCGGCGCGCCUAACACAUGCAAGUCGAACGAGCGAGAGAGAGCUUGCUUUCUUGAGCGAGUGGCGAACGGGUGAGUAACGCGUGAGGAACCUGCCUCAAAGAGGGGGACAACAGUUGGAAACGACUGCUAAUACCGCAUAAGCCCACGACCCGGCAUCGGGUUGAGGGAAAAGGAGCAAUCCGCUUUGAGAUGGCCUCGCGUCCGAUUAGCUAGUUGGUGAGGUAACGGCCCACCAAGGCGACGAUCGGUAGCCGGACUGAGAGGUUGAACGGCCACAUUGGGACUGAGACACGGCCCAGACUCCUACGGGAGGAAGCAGUGGGGAAUAUUGCACAAUGGGGGAAACCCUGAUGCAGCGACGCCGCGUGGAGGAAGAAGGUCUUCGGAUUGUAAACUCCUGUUGUUGAGGAAGAUAAUGACGGUACUCAACAAGGAAGUGACGGCUAACUACGUG